AGCUUGUUGGUGAGGUAAUGGCUCACCAAGGCGACGACGGGUAGCCGGCCUGAGAGGGCGACCGGCCACACUGGGACUGAGACACGGCCCAGACUCCUACGGGAGGCAGCAGUGGGGAAUAUUGCACAAUGGGCGAAAGCCUGAUGCAGCGACGCCGCGUGAGGGAUGACGGCCUUCGGGUUGUAAACCUCUUUCAGCAGGGAAGAAGCGAAAGUGACGGUACCUGCAGAAGAAGCCCCGGCUAACUACGUGCCAGCAGCCGCGGUAAUACGUAGGGCGCAAGCGUUGUCCGGAAUUAUUGGGCGUAAAGAGCUCGUAGGCGGCUUGUCACGUCGGGUGUGAAAGCCCGGGGCUUAACCCCGGGUCUGCAGUCGAUACGGGCAGGCUUGAGUUCGGUAGGGGAGAUCGGAAUUCCUGGUGUAGCGGUGAAAUGCGCAGAUAUCAGGAGGAACACCGGUGGCGAAGGCGGAUCUCUGGGCCAUACUGACGCUGAGGAGCGAAAGCGUGGGGAGCGAACAGGAUUAGAUACCCUGGUAGUCCACGCCGUAAACGGUG
This 555-nucleotide ribosomal RNA is filed under the name Streptomyces violaceorubidus. Its description in RNAcentral is "bacterial SSU rRNA". It matches the Rfam family "Bacterial small subunit ribosomal RNA", at positions 243 to 811 of the family's 1533-position model. Lineage: Bacteria; Bacillati; Actinomycetota; Actinomycetes; Kitasatosporales; Streptomycetaceae. The record is from RNAcentral.